UGUGGGAGCGGGCUUGCUCGCGAAAACGGUAGGUCAGUCACAUUAAUGCCAUCUGAUCCACCGCUUUCGCGAGCAAGCCCGCUCCCACA
RNAcentral lists this unclassified non-coding RNA (89 nucleotides) under Pseudomonas kilonensis. The record is from RNAcentral. Lineage: Bacteria; Pseudomonadati; Pseudomonadota; Gammaproteobacteria; Pseudomonadales; Pseudomonadaceae.